This 253-nucleotide ribosomal RNA is filed under the name uncultured bacterium. RNAcentral's name for it is "partial 16S ribosomal RNA". It matches the Rfam family "Bacterial small subunit ribosomal RNA", at positions 524 to 776 of the family's 1533-position model. The record is from RNAcentral.
GACGAGGGGUGCAAACGUUAUUCGGAAUGAUUGGGCGUAAAGGGUGCGUAGGCGGCGUAUUAAGUCAAUCGUUAAAUUUCUCAGCCUAACUGGGAGUGUGCGGUAGAAACUGAUAUGCUAGAGAGUGGAAGAGAGAAGUGGAAUUCUCGGAGUAGCGGUAAAAUGCGUAGAUCUCGAGAGGAACACCGAUGGCGAAGGCAGCUUCUUGGUCCAUUUCUGACGCUGAGGCACGAAAGCGUGGGGAGCAAACAGG